This 122-nucleotide ribosomal RNA is filed under the name Petromyzon marinus (sea lamprey). The record is from RNAcentral. Lineage: Eukaryota; Metazoa; Chordata; Hyperoartia; Petromyzontiformes; Petromyzontidae.
GUAUGUGACCACAUCACACUGGAAUGUACCCAAUCUCAUCAGAUCUCAGAGGCUAAGUAGGCUUUGAGCCUGGAUAAUGCUUGGAUGGGCGACCACCAUGCAUAAAACAGGUGCUGUACGCU